GUGACUCCUACGGGAGGCAGCAGUGGGGAAUAUUGCACAAUGGGGGAAACCCUGAUGCAGCCAUGCCGCGUGUGUGAAGAAGGCCUUCGGGUUGUAAAGCACUUUCAGUAGGGAGGAAGGUAGUGUAGUUAAUACCUGCAUUAUUUGACGUUACCUACAGAAGAAGCACCGGCUAACUCCGUGCCAGCAGCCGCGGUAAUACGGAGGGUGCGAGCGUUAAUCGGAAUUACUGGGCGUAAAGCGCAUGCAGGCGGCCUGUUAAGUCAGAUGUGAAAGCCCGGGGCUUAACCUACGGAAUUGCUAUUUAGUAAACUGGCAGGCUAGAGUCUUGUAGAGGGGGUAGGAAUUUCAGGUGUAGCGGUGAAAUGCGUAGAGAUCUGAAGGAAUACCAGUGGCGAAGGCGGCCCCCUGGACAAAGACUGACGCUCAGAUGCGAAAGCGUGGGGAGCAAACAGGAUUAGAUACCCUGGUAG
Molecule: ribosomal RNA, 473 nt
Filed under: uncultured bacterium
Lineage: Bacteria
Description: bacterial SSU rRNA
Rfam family: Bacterial small subunit ribosomal RNA
Source: RNAcentral